UAGGGAAUCUUCCACAAUGGACGCAAGUCUGAUGGAGCAACGCCGCGUGAGUGAAGAAGGUCUUCGGAUCGUAAAGCUCUGUUGUUGGUGAAGAAGGAUAGAGGCAGUAACUGGUCUUUAUUUGACGGUAAUCAACCAGAAAGUCACGGCUAACUACGUGCCAGCAGCCGCGGUAAUACGUAGGUGGCAAGCGUUGUCCGGAUUUAUUGGGCGUAAAGCGAGCGCAGGUGGAAUGAUAAGUCUGAUGUGAAAGCCCACGGCUCAACCGUGGAACUGCAUCGGAAACUGUCAUUCUUGAGUGCAGAAGAGGAGAGUGGAACUCCAUGUGUAGCGGUGGAAUGCGUAGAUAUAUGGAAGAACACCAGUGGCGAAGGCGGCUCUCUGGUCUGCAACUGACGCUGAGGCUCGAAAGCAUGGGUAGCGAACAGGAUUAGAUACCCUGGUAGUCCAUGCCGUAAACGAUGAGCGCUAGGUGUUGGGGACUUUCCGGUCCUCAGUGCCGCAGCAAACGCAUUAAGCGCUCCGCCUGGGGAGUACGACCGCAAGGUUGAAAC
Molecule: ribosomal RNA, 554 nt
Filed under: uncultured bacterium
Lineage: Bacteria
Description: partial 16S ribosomal RNA
Rfam family: Bacterial small subunit ribosomal RNA
Source: RNAcentral